This 433-nucleotide ribosomal RNA is filed under the name uncultured bacterium. Its description in RNAcentral is "partial 16S ribosomal RNA". It matches the Rfam family "Bacterial small subunit ribosomal RNA", at positions 34 to 507 of the family's 1533-position model. The record is from RNAcentral.
CCCGCCCGCUGGCGGCAUGCCUAACACAUGCAAGUCGAACGAGACCUUCGGGUUUAGUGGCGCACGGGUGCGGAACGCGUGGGAACCAGCAUUUAGGUUCGGAAUAAUUCAGAGAAAUUUGAGCUAAUAAAGGAUGAUGUCUUCGGACCAAAGAUUUAUCGCCGUUAGAUGGGCCCGGGAUGGAUUAGCUAGUUGGUGGGGAAAAGGCCGACCAAGGCGAGGAUCCUUAGCUGGUCUGAGAGGAUGAUCGGCCAAACUGGACCGGCGACACGGCCAAGACUCUUACGGGAGGCAGAAGGGGGGAAUAUUGGAAAAUGGGCGAAAGCCGGUUCCAGCAAUCCCGCGUGAGUGAUGAAGGCCUUAGGGUGUUAAAGCUCUUUUACCCUGGAGGAUAAUGAGAGUAUCGAGAGGAUAAACUCGGGCUGGCUCCGUA